GGGAUCUUUCUUUCUCCUUUAAGUCGAUUGCUAUUCUUGUUAUGUUCUUUAUUUUUCCUUAAUUUUUGUUUCGAUUUUCUAAUCUCUUUGGUGUUUAUUUUUCUAGAUUUGGUUCAAUGCAUUCUUACUGCCCAAGAUUGGUUUCUUUUGCUUUAAGAAACCCAAGUUGAUCUUGGUCUCUUCUCUUCAACCAAACCCUAAUAUUUUAAUUUCCUUUGAUUUUCUCUUUUGUCUCAUUGUUUCUAAUUUGUUUCGAUUUCUUUGGUUGAAGUCCGUUUGAACAACUUUGUUUACCCUCAAGAACGCAUCCUUGGGCUUCAAGAAAGUAACCUACAAUUGGUUCUUGAGUUCUCUUUGCUGACCAAAUCUCCCUUCACUUCUUUUCCAUUCUUUUUCCUUGUUUUAUAAUUUGUUUAAAUCGAAUUUGUAUGCUGAUUCUUUAUUUCAAAUUUGCCAGCUUAUACUCUUCAAGUCCAGCCUAAGAACGUGUCUCCCCCUCAAGAUCCAAUUCUUUCAAUCUCUAAAUCAUUUGAGUCUUUAUUAUUUGUUCUUAGAAUU
RNAcentral lists this long non-coding RNA (558 nucleotides) under Gossypium raimondii (Peruvian cotton). Its description in RNAcentral is "long non-coding RNA (GRAI_LNC000106)". The record is from RNAcentral. Lineage: Eukaryota; Viridiplantae; Streptophyta; Magnoliopsida; Malvales; Malvaceae.